AAGUCGUAACAAGGUUUCCGUAGGUGAACCUGCGGAAGGAUCAUUAAAACGUUAACCCCCCUGUGAACCUUUAGUGUGCUCGUCUAGUAACGAGGCAAGUGGCCUGGCAUUCCGAAGCAGUGUCUGAAAGUGUCACUGGCUGUGUAAGGAUGCGCGCAGUCACGAUCGUUGGAGGCCGACACGGCCGACGACCGGGUCACCGCCCCUUAAUCACAACUUAAUGCAUGUCAGGCUUAAUUGUGCGGCGACCAUAAAACUCGAACAACUGUCAACAAUGGAUAUCUUGGUUCUC
This 292-nucleotide unclassified non-coding RNA is filed under the name fungal sp. Its description in RNAcentral is "partial internal transcribed spacer region". The stretch from base 1 to 46 matches the Rfam family "Eukaryotic small subunit ribosomal RNA", at positions 1786 to 1831 of the family's 1831-position model. The record is from RNAcentral. Lineage: Eukaryota; Fungi.